RNAcentral lists this ribosomal RNA (459 nucleotides) under uncultured bacterium. RNAcentral describes it as "partial 16S ribosomal RNA". It matches the Rfam family "Bacterial small subunit ribosomal RNA", at positions 338 to 795 of the family's 1533-position model. The record is from RNAcentral.
CCUACGGGAGGCAGCAGUGAGGAAUAUUGGUCAAUGGCCGCAGGGCUGAACCAGCCAAGUCGCGUGAGGGAUGACGGUCCUAUGGAUUGUAAACCUCUUUUGUCAGGGAGCAAAGGGCGCCACGUGUGGCGUUUCGCGAGUACCUGAAGAAAAAGCAUCGGCUAACUCCGUGCCAGCAGCCGCGGUAAUACGGAGGAUGUGAGCGUUAUCCGGUUUUAUUGGGCUAAAAGGGUGCGCAGGCGGAAUGUCAAGUCAGCGGUAAAAUUGCGGGGCUAAACCCCGUGGUGCCGUUGAAACUGGCGUUCUUGAGUGAACGAGAGGUAUGCGGAAUGCGUGGCGUAGCGGUGGAAUGCGUAGAUAUCACGCAGAACUCCGGUUGCGAAGGCAGCAUGCCGGCGCUCAACUGACGCUCAUGCACGAAAGCGUGGGUAUCGAACAGGAUUAGAUACCCUAGUAGUC